CACGAGAGCGAGUUGAAGAUCUCACGAGGAACCGCGAGACUUGGAAUCUCCAAAAUUUGUCCGGGCCAAAGAGCGACAUCCGACCGGGGGGGCUGCUCUUCUUCAGGAGAUGCUGAGGUUCUGUCAGGAGUCUCGCACAUGGAUGAUCUGGGGGAAGGAAGAACUCAGCGAGGCUGUCAUGUAAACCAUCUCCUCUGGGGCCACCUUUCGGUGCACGUUGCUUCCUGCCUCAGGUAGAAACCUCAGUGUUUGUGCUGCUGCUGCUGCUGCAUGCUGUCCUCCUGCUGUGAAGGCGGCACCACUCUCAAAGGCAUUGAAAUGGAGAAGAGCUGCUCAGAGUGCUCAGAGCUCGCACAGAGCCUGUGCACACUCUGCAACAAGUGGUUGUGCUACCAGUGUACUGAUGUGCAUCAGCAUCAAAGGCCCCC
Thalassophryne amazonica is the source of this 428-nucleotide long non-coding RNA. RefSeq lists it as uncharacterized. Lineage: Eukaryota; Metazoa; Chordata; Actinopteri; Batrachoidiformes; Batrachoididae. The record is from RefSeq and is a predicted model, not a curated record. The transcript is spliced from 3 exons.